UACGUAGGGGGCGAGCGUUGUCCGGAAUUAUUGGGCGUAAAGCGCGCGUAGGCGGCCCAGUAAGUCGACUGUGAAAUCUCACGGCUCAACUGUGAAACUGCAGUCGAUACUGCUGGGCUUGAGGAAGGUAGAGGAGAGUGGAAUUUCUGGUGUAGCGGUGGAAUGCGCAGAUAUCAGAAGGAACACCGAUGGCGAAGGCAGCUCUCUGGGCCUUUCCUGACGCUGAGGUGCGAAAGCGUGGGGAGCGAACAGG
This 253-nucleotide unclassified non-coding RNA is filed under the name uncultured Nitriliruptoraceae bacterium. RNAcentral's name for it is "contains 16S-23S intergenic spacer region". It matches the Rfam family "Bacterial small subunit ribosomal RNA", at positions 524 to 776 of the family's 1533-position model. The record is from RNAcentral. Lineage: Bacteria; Bacillati; Actinomycetota; Nitriliruptoria; Nitriliruptorales; Nitriliruptoraceae.